RNAcentral lists this non-coding RNA (28 nucleotides) under Homo sapiens (human). Lineage: Eukaryota; Metazoa; Chordata; Mammalia; Primates; Hominidae. The record is from RNAcentral.
UGCCCAGCACAUGGAGCCUGCACGCGCA